This 403-nucleotide ribosomal RNA is filed under the name uncultured prokaryote. Its description in RNAcentral is "bacterial SSU rRNA". It matches the Rfam family "Bacterial small subunit ribosomal RNA", at positions 355 to 774 of the family's 1533-position model. The record is from RNAcentral.
GGAGGAAUAUUGCACAACGGGGGGAACCCAGAUGCAGCAACGCCGCGUGAGUGAAGAAGGCCUUCGGGUUGUAAAACUCUUUUCUGAGGGAUGAGGAAGGACAGUACCUCAGGAAUAAGUCUCGGCUACCUACGUGCCAGCAGCCGCGGUAAGACGUAGGAGGCGAGCGAUAUCCGGAUUUACUGGGCGUAAAGGGCAAGUAGGCGGCAUAACAAGUCAGUUGUGACAGAUCCGGGCUCAACUGGGAGAGGACGAAUGAGACGGUUGAGCUAGAGGACAGGAGAGGGGAGCGGAAUUCCUUGUGUAGCGGUGGAAUGCUCGGAUACAAGGAAGAACACCAGUGGCGAAGGCGGCUCUCUGGCCUGAUCCUGACGCUGAAGAGCGAAAGCGAGGGGAGCGAACG